AUCUCUUGGCAUUGUAGCAUAACAAAAUGUGCUAUGUAACCUUGUAUAAUCACUUUCUAAAGUCAACCAAGUUGGUAACUGUUGAGCUUUGUACUUUUUGAAAAUACCUCCCUUUUAUUUGACCUUGAGCUUCCAUUCUGCUGCAUUGGGUAAUUCCAGGUUCUAAUAUAAUGAAGUAGAAAAAUAUCUCCUUCUCCAUUUUUUCCACACCAUGAAUAAUUGUAUAUAUUUCUAUCCCUUUCCACUCAGCCUUCGUCUAAGCUUUAAAAAUGUCCUGACUGUUGUAAAAUUUCCUCAUAGAGGAGUUGUUUCAACUCCUUCAAUUUUUAAAACUCUCUUCUGCACCUUUGUCAGAAAAACAUUGCUAUUUUUCCACUUUAAUGACAAUAUUUACAGCAUUACAGUAUGAAGAUCUGCAACAAGGAACACCUUCAUGUAGUUUCUCAGUAUUUUGUGACAUUUUGGACUCUUCAACAAGACAUAUUUAUUGAUGUAUGGUAAAAGAAAUUCUCUGGGUAGCAUAUAUAAAAUGCAGCUAGUUGGAUACCCUGGAGAGUAUAGAUAAACAGCAAAGUGUACUGUAUUGCAAUAAGCUGUUCUGGACUUGUGUGUGUGUGUGUGUGUGUGUGUGUGUGCUGUAAAUUAUGUUUCAUUGCUGAUUAAAAUGAUGUGUGUGCUAUGCUAGGAGGAUGAACUUUAGCUAGGCAUGACACAGCUUCAAAUUAGUCCUCUCAAAGGACACACAUGCUCAGCAAAAUGCUAAACAUCUGUUGUCACACAGUUGUUUUUUUUAAAAGGGAGACAAACUUGUCAACUCAUCACUCUCUUAAAGGGCUCUGGAGGGCUUCUGUUACAGGACAGCUACCUCUGGUGAGCCAUGAAGCCUUCUAUAACAUCACAUUUGCUUUUGCAAGUCUUUAACUUGUAUUUUCAGAUGGUAGUGUACUAAGAAAGGAGAUCAAAACAUUGUUACCUAGUUUAGAGUGGUAAGUUUAGAACAGUGGUUCUUAUCCUUUUCUUCACUACAGACCCCCUUAAAUAGCUUUUAUUGCCACAGACCACCAAGACUUAACACAAGAUGUAAAAUCCUAAGGUGCAUCAAAUAUUUAUUUAAUGUUGCUCAUCAAGGACACAGUUUAAAACAGAAGCUUGAUCUGCAUCAAGCAAACAGGUGAAGCUAUGCCACUGAUUCCCAAAUGUGAGUCCCCAGCUCCUACUGGAUUUCAGUCUGCAGAAGCCCAACUCAGCAUGGCCAAUGAUUUAUGGAUUGUGGGCCUUGCAUUCCAACAAUAUCUGGAGAAUCAGUUUGGGGAAUCACAUGGAGAUUCAGCAUUGCUCAUUUGCUAAUUGCAUAUUAAACUGUCAUUCAAGGCCCAGCUACAGAACCUACUUGGAAAGCUGACACAUUUACUUAACAAACAAACAAAAAAUAAUGAAGCACUUCCAGAAAGUAAAGUGAGAAAUAGACUCUCUCCAGAGUGGAAUCUGCAAACCCCCAGAACAUGAUUCAUACUGUGGGAAACUUCUAGUACAUGAAAGCACAGAGUUUACUUCAAGCACCAACUCGAAACACACAAGAAAGAUUCCUGAAGCCAUCGCACCAAGGCUGAGAUCUAUGUACGGUUACUCAGGAGUAAGCCCCAGUGAAUUCUGUGGAACAUCCUCCUCAGUCAACAGGCAUUAUGUAGGGUUCUUGGGGUCGAUUGAGCAGCACAUUCCUGCAAGAGGAAGAUUAAGAAGCAUAGCAUGGAUCACACGGAAUGUGUUCUGCCUCACCUAAUGAGGUUAGAAAUGAGAUGGACUGGCAGAAUUUUCUAUAAUCAUGCUAUCUGAAAAAUCAAAAGAUAGACCAAGCUAAAUGAUGUCUACUUCAUGCAGAAUGACAUAUUCACCGCUUCAGUUUUUUAAAUAAAAAAAUGAUUGUGAUACUGAAAAUGAUUUAUCGCUUUUUCCUCUAAUUAAAAUAAUUUUAAAUCAUU
Sceloporus undulatus (fence lizard) is the source of this 1979-nucleotide long non-coding RNA. RefSeq lists it as uncharacterized. NCBI's taxonomy places the organism in Eukaryota, Metazoa, Chordata, Lepidosauria, Squamata, Phrynosomatidae. The record is from RefSeq and is a predicted model, not a curated record. The transcript has 2 exons.